RNAcentral lists this ribosomal RNA (480 nucleotides) under uncultured bacterium. RNAcentral describes it as "bacterial SSU rRNA". It matches the Rfam family "Bacterial small subunit ribosomal RNA", at positions 28 to 551 of the family's 1533-position model. The record is from RNAcentral.
AGCGAACGCUGGCGGCAGGCUUAAUACAUGCAAGUCGAGCGCCUGUUAGCAAUACAGGAGCGGCAGACGGGAGAGUAACACGUGGGAACGUGCCCUUUGGUUCGGAACAACACAGGGAAACUUGUGCUAAUACCGGAUAAGCCCUUACGGGGAAAGAUUUAUCGCCAAAGGAUCGGCCCGCGUCUGAUUAGCUAGUUGGUGGGGUAAUGGCCCACCAAGGCGACGAUCAGUAGCUGGUCUGAGAGGAUGAUCAGCCUCAUUGGGACUGAGACACGGCCCAAACUCCUACGGGAGGCAGCAGUAGGGAAUAUUGGACAAUGGGGGCAACCCUGAUCCAGCCAUGCCGCGUGAGUGAUGAAGGCCUUAGGGUUGUAAAGCUCUUUCGGCGGGGAAGAUAAUGACGGUACCCGCAUAAGAAGCCCCGGCUAACUUCGUGCCAGCAGCCGCGGUAAUACGAAGGGGGCUAGCGUUGCUCGGAAU